Esox lucius (northern pike) is the source of this 579-nucleotide long non-coding RNA. The record is from Ensembl. Lineage: Eukaryota; Metazoa; Chordata; Actinopteri; Esociformes; Esocidae.
CAUAUACAUGACAUUCUGUAACAUACACUUAUUUGGGAACAUUUCUGGCUGAUCAGCACCACAUUAACAUCCAGUGGCCAGAAAUGCAGACUGUGCCUUUAAUUUAAUGAGUGUUCAUGUUUUAUGUAUCAGAUUCUGCUGGUGUUUCUGCUGUUGAUGGGUCAGGUGAUGUGACAUAUGCCCAGAUUCAACCAAAGAGGUUGGACAAGAAAGAAAUAGAAAAGCCAGCUGAUCCAAAUGAAAAUAGAGUCCACUCUGAGAUGAAGACAAUGAAAACUACAGAAUCAACAACCCUGCCAGAGUCAGAAUCAGUCUAUUCUCCAGUAAAGACAGCCAGAAUCCAGAGUAAGACUAGAUAAUAUCUCUUGAAAAAGCAUGAAAAGAAUAGUCUGGUAUUAGAGAACAUCUAAGUAUCUCCUAACAUAAUCUAUGUGUUGAUAUUUUGCAGGCCCUUGAGGGAGAUGAACACAAUCACAGAAAUGUGACACACACACACAUUAUCACAUUCAUGACGGAUUUGUUUCAAACUGUGCUAUCAACAGAUAUUUCUUUUUAUGUUACUUUUUUAAAUGACAUGGG